Molecule: ribosomal RNA, 457 nt
Filed under: uncultured bacterium
Lineage: Bacteria
Description: partial 16S ribosomal RNA
Rfam family: Bacterial small subunit ribosomal RNA
Source: RNAcentral
GAUGAACGCUGGCGGCGUGCCUAAUACAUGCAAGUCGUACGGAAAGGCCCUUCGGGGUACUCGAGUGGCGGACGGCUGAGUAACGCGUGGGAACGUGCCCCAAAGUGAGGGAUAACGCACCGAAAGGUGUGCUAAUACCGCAUAUGGUCUUCGGAUUAAAGCUGCGGCGCUUUGGGAGCGGCCCGCGUACGAUUAGAUAGUUGGUGAGGUAAUGGCUCACCAAGGCGACGAUCGUUAGCUGGUCUGAGAGGAUGAUCAGCCAGACUGGGACUGAGACACGGCCCAGACUCCUACGGGAGGCAGCAGUAAGGAAUCUUCCACAAUGGGGGCAACCCUGAUGGCGCAACGCCGCGUGCAGGAUGAAGGUUUUCGGAUCGUAAACUGCUUUUAUAAGUGAAGAAUAUGACGGUAACUUAUGAAUAAGGAUCGGCUAACUACGUGCCAGCAGCCGCAGUAA